GGAAUUUUGCUCAAUGGGGGAAACCCUGAAGCAGCAACGCCGCGUGAGGGAUGAAGGCCUUCGGGUUGUAAACCUCUUUUCUCAGGGAAGAUAAUGACGGUACCUGAGGAAUAAGCCACGGCUAACUACGUGCCAGCAGCCGCGGUAAUACGUAGGUGGCAAGCGUUGUCCGGAUUUACUGGGCGUAAAGAGCGCGCAGGCGGUUGGUUAAGUCGAAUGUGAAAGCCCCCGGCUCAACUGGGGAGGGUCAUUCGAUACUGGUCAACACGAAGGCAGGAGAGGGAAGUGGAAUUCCGGGUGUAGUGGUGAAAUGCGUAGAUAUCCGGAGGAACACCAGUGGCGAAGGCGACUUCCUGGCCUGUUCUUGACGCUGAGGCGCGAAAGCUGGGAGAGC
Molecule: ribosomal RNA, 394 nt
Filed under: uncultured bacterium
Lineage: Bacteria
Description: bacterial SSU rRNA
Rfam family: Bacterial small subunit ribosomal RNA
Source: RNAcentral